UACCGUGUGAUGGGGGAUAACUAACCGAAAGGUUGGCUAAUACCGCAUACGCCCUGAGGGGGAAAGAGGGGGAUCGCAAGACCUCUUGUCAUACGAGCGGCCGAUGUCGGAUUAGCUAGUUGGUGAGGUAAAGGCUCACCAAGGCAACGAUCCGUAGCGGGUCUGAAAGGACGACCCGCCACACUGGGACUGAGACACGGCCCACACUCCUACGGGAGGCAGCAGUGGGGAAUCUUGGACAAUGGGCGCAAGCCUGAUCCAGCAAUGCCGCGUGGGUGAAGAAGGCCUUCGGGUUGUAAAGCCCUUUUGUCAGGGAGCAAAUCCUUGGACUUAAUACGUCCCGGGGAUGAGAAUACCUGAAGAAUAAGGACCGGCUAACUACGUGCCAGCAGCCGCGGUAAUACGUUAGGUCCAAGCGUUAAUCGGAAUUACUGGGCGUAAAGCGU
This 446-nucleotide ribosomal RNA is filed under the name beta proteobacterium 1S2.B10. Its description in RNAcentral is "bacterial SSU rRNA". It matches the Rfam family "Bacterial small subunit ribosomal RNA", at positions 127 to 568 of the family's 1533-position model. Lineage: Bacteria; Pseudomonadati; Pseudomonadota; Betaproteobacteria. The record is from RNAcentral.